Esox lucius (northern pike) is the source of this 3386-nucleotide long non-coding RNA. The record is from Ensembl. Lineage: Eukaryota; Metazoa; Chordata; Actinopteri; Esociformes; Esocidae.
CAGUAUCAAAUCAGUAUGAUUGAAUGCUCCGUGCUGUCCUACCACACCCGCUGGCCAAGAGAGUAAGACUAUGAUAGAUUUGAUAGAACCUGUGGCCACAAUGAAUACGUCCACUGAAAUUCAACACUACUGUUGUUUGCUCUUUGGGGUUUAAGGCCAGGUGUUUCUGUAAAAGCACUGCUGUUGUAAAAAGGGCUUUAUAAAUAAAUUUGAUUGAUUGAUUGAUAGAGGCGCAAAUCAGGUGUCUUAAACGAAAAUAAUAAGCUGUUUGAUUACAAAUUCAAAUAAAUAAUUCAACAGUCAACUGAAUGAGUACAGCCUUAAUGCAUGUUGGGCUUUAUAAUAUAGCACAGUGACAAGGUACUUGAAUAUGUCUACAAUCAAUAGUCAACGGUCUCUGGCUAACCGUCAGACAGUCUGCAUUGGUGGCAGAGAUCUUCUCCUGCUGUCUGACUGGAUGAAUGUAUACAAAGCAUCUUGUUAACACGUGAUUCUCUUUAUGUUAGGUAGUACUGUGGAUCCUCCUAACAUCAAUCCCAUCGCCAUUGUUCUGAGUUGCAUUGCGAUACUAUGUGUGUUGGCCUGUGGAUCUGUUCUAUGGUACAGGAAGUGUAAAUCACCCACACCCAAUAAUGGUAAGAAUGACGUUACUUGUGAUAGUGGAGAUAGAUGGAAAUUGUUCCUUGGUAAUGGAACCAAUAGAGAUUUUGUUAGUCCCUUAGUGACAAACAAUGUUGUUUUUGAUAGCUACAUUUCUGUGGCUAUAUUAGAGUAGAUGAGAAAGAUAUACGGUAAUAAAAUAAUGAUUUAUCUUGUACAGGGAUGUCCUGGCCAUGUUUAAAACUUUUAGUUAAAAGAACUGUGGGAGGCAAUUUAAAAAUAAUACUUAUAGCUGCGUUAUUCUCAACACCAAUAGCAGGCUGAGUGAAAGAAAUUUUUCACAGAUAUCAUGGCUGUGUCAUGAAUCUGGUAUCCUUCUCUUUCUCCCUCUUCUGGCCACACUCGCACUUACACACUUACACACACGCGCGCGCACACACACACACACACACACACACACACACACACACACACACGCACACUCUCCAUUACACACACACACAACCACACGCACUUUCACUCACCCUCAGCUGUUCCUAGUUGCAACCAGCGAUCGCGCUAAUUCUCCCACACCUGUUCUCUCUCCCCUCUGUUUGUGUUUGCUUCUUCUAGCUUCCCCUUUUCCCUGCUUCUUUGCCAGGUUAUUCCGUGAGUUAUCUAUGCAAAAGGCUCUCUCUCCCAAGUAUUAUUUUUAUACGUCUUGUCUGAGUCCUGUCUGGAUCUGGACUGUACAAAUACUACGCUGUGUUUGCUGAAUGACUGCUUACUCUACACUCUGCCUAGUUUGCCUGCUGUUGACGACCUGCCUGAGCAUUCUCUCCGCCAGCCGUAUACCGUAUCCUCUCUGUGAGAUCCGAGACUUGACGCCGCCAGACCUGGUCUUUCUGCUGUGCUCUGCCUCUGUUACUGGAAUAUAUUUGUAGUUUGUCUAACGCACGUAUUGACGGCAGUUUCUGUUAAUUAUUUCAAGAAGAGGAUUUCUGUUCAUCUGGACUGUUACUCUUCCAUUAUUAAAGACAUUGCAUUAUUGCAUUUCGCUUUUGGGUCCUUUCUCACCUGCAAUAACAGGCUGGUUAGAUACUUCAGAAAAGUUUUCUGUGUUAAUGUUACUCAUAACAGUGGCACAAGUCAUGUAAGUUGAGUUAGUUGAGUUAGUCUGUUAGUUGAGUUAGUCUGGACAGUUGGCUGCAGGGGUCCUUAUAAUGCAGGUGUGUUUUUUUUUCCAGCGUUAGUGCUUGACAACUGAGCUGUUAAUGUCUAAUCUUGGUUCUAGGCUUUGCAUUUGCAUUUGGAGACUGCUGUGGGUGUAUGUAACUGCUGACAACAGCAGCAGGAUGAAUUCUGAAGUAUACAUAACUAUGUUGUACAUCAAAUAUAGAUACUUUUGUUUUUCCAGAUGUGGAUCUUAAAGAAAAUCAAGAAGUAAUACAACUGACCUCAAAUACCCCAGAUUGACAAUGGACCAUUUUAGGUGUGGAACCCAAAAUGGUAGAAGGUUAUAUUAUUGAUAUGACAUUAAAUAUCAGUUCAGCCUUCUGAUGGGACAUAAAGGGCUCAGUGAAGCUUGUUAUUUUCAAACCAAGCGUUGUUGGAAAUUAUAACUUUCCCUUCACAAUGAUAAGCUGGACUUCAGGGUUAUUUUAAUGGUGUUGAGAAAGACUGGGAGUUGUUCAAAUAUUUAAUCAAUAUGUUGAAAUCACUUCCGAAGGAAAAUGUUGGCACUAGACUAUGGCUUGCAAUUAAAAACAUUUUUGUAUUUUAUUUUGUUUUAGAAGUAGUGACCUGAAAUGCACUUUAAUAGUGUUGCACCUUUUUCACAAUUUAAAAUCUUGAUGUCCUCUUUAUAUCAAAAAUGUCAGGGAAAAAGACACAAAUGCAAAUAUAAUGUUAGAAAAGGUUAUUAUUUCUUAGCCACGCAAAUAUGCAUGCAAUGCCUUAUGUCGAACAAUCUGCCUGGGCUGACCAAGAAUGUUCUGGAUACUCUGUUGACGCCCCGGUUUGCACUUCUUCAAUACACACUCAGGGAUUGACUCUAUUCCAAUGACUCCUGUGUAACUGUAUUGGUGUAGCCACCACUGUUGAGCAGAACUGAAUCUGUCUGUCUUCAAUGUAUUUUAUAUUCCUGGUCCUGUAGUAGCGUUUAUCUUUCCUGAAAAAUGCCGUUUUUUUUAUAUCAUCUGCUUGUUGCAUUUGUUUUCCAUUAUGUUCCUAGUGCCUGAAAGAUUAAGAAGGUAAUGUUAGAUCACUCAAAACGUUCUGCACCGCUGAGAGAUCCCAAUGGGCAUCCACCUCUUUAAACACACUCGCAUACACACAGCUGUUACUCUGUUUACAAUCUACUCUAAUGCAUAGUCACUUUACACCUUUUUGGUCUCUCAUAAAAAAAAUGGUGGGUAUUGCUGGGUGUGUUCAUGUAGAGCUCACCGGCCCAACCUGGUUUUAAGAAACUGAUUGACAUGGGCUAUUUUCUCAAAGUGGGGGCAAAAGAAAGAUGCAGAAUGCUUAUUGUUUUUCUGAAAUAUUUCCAAACGUGGAGCUUAAUGUAUGUUCAUAUUUCUAUGAAAUAUUGUAUUGUUUUUCAAGAAAGAUCAUCUCCAUAAUGUAUUGUUAUUCAUAGGGGACUGUUAUUCAUGUUGAAUAAUGUAUUUCUUUUUUACAGUUUUUUGCUUGUGUAAUAAAUUGCAUUUUAAAGUGAUGUUCACCAAAUUGCAGUGUUUGUAUUGACCAGCAGAUGGCAAUCCCACACUACAGCUACAUGCUCAGCCGUCCGACUGAGACACCCGUAA